GAUAGACAGCCAUCGGCGUGCGACAGAGACCCAGGAGAGGCUCCCUUGCCCCCUGCGUCCACAUUGGGUGAGCCUGCAGCGCUGGGCAGGGCACCAUGGACACCUGGCGAGGAAACGCAGCGGCAGCAUCUGCCUGCGCAUCCUGUGGCAGGGGCUGGUGUCGAAGGGCGCAUGGGCCUUGCAAAGGGGCCCCAGCCAGCGCCCCCUGGCCCCGGAGCAGAGCUCUGCAAGGAAAGUAAAACAAAUCAAUUGCAUCUGAUUUCAUUUUUAAAAGGAAGAGUCUGCGCUUGAGAAAUGGCAUCCGGUGGCAAGGCUGAAACUUCUUCUUGGAGGGGCUCCAGCUGCAAUUCAGUUGGGAAAGCUCCUCGAAGGCCGCCUUGUGUCGGCCAUAACCCCCUGCUUAGAGCCCUCGCCCUCCCCUGUCUGUGUGCGGCUGGAGGCCUCGUCCGCCCAGGUGCUCUCCCCAGCCC
RNAcentral lists this long non-coding RNA (470 nucleotides) under Pan troglodytes (chimpanzee). Its description in RNAcentral is "long non-coding RNA NONPTRT001982". Lineage: Eukaryota; Metazoa; Chordata; Mammalia; Primates; Hominidae. The record is from RNAcentral.